Molecule: ribosomal RNA, 544 nt
Filed under: Schwanniomyces polymorphus var. polymorphus
Lineage: Eukaryota; Fungi; Ascomycota; Pichiomycetes; Serinales; Debaryomycetaceae
Description: eukaryotic LSU rRNA
Rfam family: Eukaryotic large subunit ribosomal RNA
Source: RNAcentral
GAAGCGGCAAAAGCUCAAAUUUGAAAUCUGGCACCUUCGGUGUCCGAGUUGUAAUUUGAAGAAGGUAACUUUGGAGUUGGCUCUUGUCUAUGUUCCUUGGAACAGGACGUCACAGAGGGUGAGAAUCCCGUGCGAUGAGAUGCCCAAUUCUAUGUAAAGUGCUUUCGAAGAGUCGAGUUGUUUGGGAAUGCAGCUCUAAGUGGGUGGUAAAUUCCAUCUAAAGCUAAAUAUUGGCGAGAGACCGAUAGCGAACAAGUACAGUGAUGGAAAGAUGAAAAGAACUUUGAAAAGAGAGUGAAAAAGUACGUGAAAUUGUUGAAAGGGAAGGGCUUGAGAUCAGACUUGGUAUUUUGCAAGCCUUACCUUCGUGGUGGGGUCCCCUGCAGUUUACUGGGCCAGCAUCGGUUUGGAUGGUAGGAUAAUGACUUGGGAAUGUGACUUUGCUUCGGUAAAGUGUUAUAGCCCUUGUUGAUACUGCCUGUCUAGACCGAGGACUGCGUCUUUGACUAGGAUGCUGGCAUAAUGAUCUUAAGUCGCCCGUCUU